This 459-nucleotide ribosomal RNA is filed under the name Triticum aestivum (bread wheat). RNAcentral describes it as "partial small subunit ribosomal RNA". The record is from RNAcentral. Lineage: Eukaryota; Viridiplantae; Streptophyta; Magnoliopsida; Poales; Poaceae.
AUGCCAAUAUCUUACAGAUGGGGCCGCUGCCAUGGAGAACCUUCGAGCGGAACUUGCCCAGCCAAGGAGCAAGCCAGGAGAAGUGAUGCGGCUGCCGUAAAGGCAAUUGAAGAGCUGAAAGCCGAACAGGCUGCUCACUGCCGAAGCAAGAAGGAAAUGGCCGAAAUGGCUGUGAAGUUAAAGAACACUGCUGACCGCUGCAAGCUUCUUGAAAAAGAAGAUCGAGCGGAGCGGACAGGCCUGGAGAAGGCCACUACGGUGGCCAAGGAUGCUCGUUCUGCGAUGAGAGCGAUGAAGGAGGAGCUGCGUCAGGCCGGAGAUAUCGCGGCUGGAAAGCCCUUUAUGCUGCGGAUGAAGUUCAGAGAUUCGAAAUACGCUCCGUUGGACCGGAUGUGGAGUUCGACGGACGCAUAUCUGGAUUUAGCUGCGAGUGCCGCUGAUGCGGCCGAACAUUUCUGA